UACGGAGGAUCCAAUCGUUAUCCGGAAUCAUUGGGUUUAAAGGGUCCGUAGGCGGGUUCGUAAGUCAUUGGUGAAAGUCUGCAGCUCAACUGUAGAACUGCCAUUGAAACUGCAUACCUUGAGUAAUUAUGAAGUGGUUAGAAUAUGUAGUGUAGCGGUGAAAUGCAUAGAUAUUACAUAGAAUACCGAUUGCGAAGGCAGAUCACUAAUAAUUUACUGACGCUGAUGGACGAAAGCGUAGGUAGCGAACAGGAUUAGAUACCCUGGUAGUCUACGCCGUAAACGAUGGUUACUAGCUGUUCGGGCCGAUUAAGGUCUGAGUGGCUAAGCGAAAGUGAUAAGUAACCCACCUGGGGAGUACGUUCGCAAGAAUGAAACUCAAAGGAAUUGACGGGGGCCCGCACAAGCGGUGGAGCAUGUGGUUUAAUUCGAUGAUACGCGAAGAACCUUACCAGGUCUUAAAUGUAGCUUGA
This 473-nucleotide ribosomal RNA is filed under the name uncultured bacterium. RNAcentral describes it as "bacterial SSU rRNA". It matches the Rfam family "Bacterial small subunit ribosomal RNA", at positions 524 to 995 of the family's 1533-position model. The record is from RNAcentral.